Molecule: long non-coding RNA, 2023 nt
Filed under: Chrysemys picta bellii (western painted turtle)
Lineage: Eukaryota; Metazoa; Chordata; Testudines; Emydidae
Description: lncRNA (ENSCPBG00000005450.1)
Source: RNAcentral
CAGCUGGCGGUCAACACUGCUCUGCAGUAAGAUCCGGCGCUGUCUUUGCAGGCGGCGUUCAUCCAUCACACCAGGGAGACGCCCGCCUCGGAGCCCUUCAGCGCCACAGACGGCUUCGACCUGUACAUCGACGGGGCCCGGUUCCUGCCCGAUGCCGUCACCGUCACUAGGGUCGCUGGCCGGAUCUUUGACAGCCACUACCACCAAGUUGGUCCAGACAUUUCCACCGCCAUUGAUUUGAGCAGCAAUAUCUUCGAGCCACUCUACAACUAUCGCGUGGAGAUCCGGAAUCCACCAGUGCCGCCCUCCGCUACGCUCUUGCUAAAGGUCUGUGCUGCGGCCAGGCAGAUGACAGAUGUCAUCUCCCCGGCUGGCAGGAUCUCCACAAGCCCUUGCUGUGUGGGGCAGGAGAGGAGAGUUGCUCUUCCCCUGCGAGUGACGGGACUGUACUGAGUUUGUGCAAGGUGCUGGCCCAGCUGUGUCUAAGUGCAGGUGCAGGGUCUCCCGGGGGGGCUCUGACUCAACACCGAGCUGCCUUUGAUUCUUACAGCUCUACUCCCUGGAUCGGUUCAGUUCCAAGCUCGUCCUGAUCGGCUGGGCAGCUCUCAAUCUCUUUGUGGAAUCUGGGACGCACAGAGCCCCGGCUGCAGAUUCCCAGGGGAUCCAGGUCUCUCUGAACGAGGGUGCCCACCAGCUUCGCCUGUACCACAGUGGCCCUGCCACGGACCAGCUGUUCUCUGUCGGUGCCCUCACCUCUGCAGGACGGUAACCCCUCGCGCCUGGCUCCCGGCCAGCUCACUCCCUUCUUGUGUGUGUCUUGUCUCUGUAACGUCCCGUGCUUUGCUGCGGACUGUGCAGGCUCUCACCCCUGUGCUGCUCCUCUCCCCACAGGUAUGUCCCAUGUGCCAGCCUGCUAGUCAGGCUGCUCAAAGCCCCCGUGGACUCCAGCCAUCAAACCCUGCAGAGAAGCAUGGUUCCCCAGGGGGACUGGGUCAGACUCGGCCUCUUCCAGCCCAGGCCUGACUAUUCAGACGGGAUCUAUUAUUCAGACUCGGUCGUGCCCACCGCCGGGGAGAGGUGCCUCUACAGCGCCAUGGGAAACAGGUCUGCAGUGCUGGUUCGGGAGAUUGUCCCUCAGCUUGUGGGAAACGAAGGCCCGGAGCUGAAUACAGAUGCGGAGAUCUCUACUUGGAUCAAAGAGAAACUGACCAGGACGAUGGACUGCAGCCCUCAGCCUUUCAAUCUUACCUAUGUCUCUCGAUACCUCCCUACAUACGGCAUUAAGUUUGCAGUGGAUGGUGCCAAGAAUCUACCCUGGUCUGGUUUGACGGUGGCUCAUUUCUGCUUCAAUCCCCCUGGGGCCUUUUAUUUUGGGAGGCCCUGGCUAAAAUACGAUCGUCCUGUCUUUGUGGAGGAGCUUGACCUUGACAGCUACCAGCGAUGGCCUGUGUGGCUGGAUGGAUUCAAGUCCUUUCCCCAGAGGAUUUACAAUGAGUAUCUAACGGUGAUUAUCCACCUGUACGAAGUCCUGGUGAAUCCUGAGCCAGACACUCCGGGCAAAAAGGCAGCCACCAGACCUGUGCCGAGAGGAAUCAUGAGGAAAGAGGGCGAAAGGCUGCGCUAUGCACUGGGGAGUGAAGCAUGGGCUGUUCUCCAAGUGUUCUCUAGUGGCUACUGCAAUACUGAUGUUUAUCAGCUGCCUCUGUACCAGGGGGCUCCCAGCCAGAACAUUGUGAUCUCCUUCUCCCAAGGAACGUGUACCAGCGUUACGCAGGAGCUGGCGAACAGGAAAGUGAUUGAGCUGGUGAGAGGGGCAUCUGUGGUUGUCCGUCUAGCAGAUGGUAGGCGGGAUGAAGAGCUUAGCCUGCCCCCCAAACAGGGUAUCAAUCAGUCCUACCUCCCCAAGGAAGGCAUAGAGUUUUACAAGAAGGAGCCUGGUGGUGCUAAAGUUACAGAUCUGAUGCCACAGGAGAAGGCAGAAACCCAGCAAGAGGCCCGGCUGUUAAUUCUAGAUCACAUCUAG